This 72-nucleotide transfer RNA is filed under the name Actinomycetes bacterium. RNAcentral describes it as "Actinobacteria bacterium tRNA-Val". It matches the Rfam family "tRNA". From Rfam's summary of the family: Transfer RNA (tRNA) molecules are approximately 80 nucleotides in length. Their secondary structure includes four short double-helical elements and three loops (D, anti-codon, and T loops). Further hydrogen bonds mediate the characteristic L-shaped molecular structure. tRNAs have two regions of fundamental functional importance: the anti-codon, which is responsible for specific mRNA codon recognition, and the 3' end, to which the tRNAs corresponding amino acid is attached (by aminoacyl-tRNA synthetases). tRNAs cope with the degeneracy of the genetic code in two manners: having more than one tRNA (with a specific anti-codon) for a particular amino acid; and 'wobble' base-pairing, i.e. permitting non-standard base-pairing at the 3rd anti-codon position. Lineage: Bacteria; Bacillati; Actinomycetota; Actinomycetes. RNAcentral also lists the same sequence under 1 other name. The record is from RNAcentral.
GGGCGCAUAGCUCAGCGGGAGAGCGCCCGCUUCACACGCGGGAGGUCGGUGGUUCGAUCCCACCUGCGCCCA